Misgurnus anguillicaudatus (oriental weatherfish) is the source of this 1999-nucleotide non-coding RNA. The record is from RefSeq and is a predicted model, not a curated record. Lineage: Eukaryota; Metazoa; Chordata; Actinopteri; Cypriniformes; Cobitidae.
CAUGUAAAAACGUACCCUGACUACGUUGGUCCAAUUUGCAAAACGUAGAGGGGUUACAAUAAUGGCCCUAGAAUUGUAUGACUGUUACAUUUUUUUUCGCCUAUUCUUUUAAUGGCCCUUGAAUUGUAUGACUCUUACGUUUUUUUUUUUCGUCCAAGUCACGUGACUUUCAAGCUACCGGCCGUGAGAACAAAAAACAUGGCGGACAUUCUCUCAUGUUUAGUGGAAAAAUCUAUAUUUUGAGUUAGUUUCUGAAUAAAAAGAAGUUUUGAUUACAUUUCUAGCGAGAAAUAUAUAUUUUAUUUUCAUAAUAUUCACUCAGUGAAUUUACAUAAUCAUCGCUUGCUCGAUUUUACGCAGAUUUUUCAGAUCUCGCCAGAAUAAUGUGAAACUGAUACGUUUUGGUUGCUAUGGACACUGCCAGGGCUCGUCACAUGACGUCUUUAAAAAAGACUUUAUUAAAACCGCGUUCAGCUACAGGUAAAACAACAUUCAGAGGUGAUUUUAACAACGCUCCACGGCGCGUGAGAGUAAGCAUUUUAAGCGUUUUCUGAUCAUGUAGGUAAGUGCUUUUAUUAGACGUGAUGCAUGCUGGGUGGGAAAUUAUUUUUUAUCAAAGACUCGUUGAUGGUAAUUAAUAUAGAUAUGAAUAUACAUUUUGCAACCCUGUAUCACAUGAAAUACGUUCUGAGGAAACUAUUUUGCAAAUCGCAAUUACGUUACAUGCCAACAUAUAAGCAGUGCUAUUACGUUGGUCCUUAACCUAAUAUGACCCGUCGCCAUGGACACAAGGGGUCGGAUAUCUAAAGUUAAAUAUUUUUAACUUACGCGUGAAAUGGUUGAUUUUAAAAAUAUAUAUAUUCUAAGUAAACAACAACAGCCCAGGUUUAGUAAACAUUUUUUUUAUUGAAACUAUAAAUAAAUAUUCUGCAUCCAUUUUAGGUGUGCCACUGUGGGUGGCUCCCGCACACCCCCGUGGCUACGCCCCUGCCGUGACCCAAAUCUCGUUCUCACAUCAUCGCGAUGUUUAUCAUCUAUUUACAAACGUAGCCAGUCGCCUCAUCUUUUUUCUUCACAUACAUCUCAUACUCCUCCAUCUACACGCUCCACAACAUUUAAACCAACGGUUUUGACCAGUUAUGUCAGGAAGCUGCAACUAUUUCAAAGCAUCUUGAAAUGAAAGCUGACAAUGCUGAACUUGAAGCAGCUACCAGGGAGGCUGAAGAAAUUCUACAAAUGUUUAAUCCUCCACUGCUGAAAAAGAAGACCAAACGAGCGAUUUCCUGGACUCAACAGACACAGUGAACUUUGAACUGCAUUUCAAAGCCAGCUUCUCAGCCGCAACACCGAGAACCAGAGUUGAAGUCAAUGUACUGCUGAGAAAGUGCAAGAUCUAUUUAACCAAAAAUAUAAGGAUGCCGGAGGUACUGGAAGGCUCCCCUACCAAUCCCUGGUAAAUCAAGGCAUGACAGUUAAAGUUGCAGGACUGCCCAACAGCCUCAAAAAACCAUCCUAUUAUGGAAGGAACCAGUUGGAGGCCAUUUUGCAAGCUGCUGAGGAGAUUUUAUUUGAAAUCAAUGCAGCACAAUGCAACUCCACUGACAAAGCAGAAGGAAUGUCAGAGGCGAUGGACGCAGAAGAGCUGGAAGAACAGUCCUCAGAAACAGCCACUACUGUAGCUAUCGUGAUGACUGCAGAUUAAGAUGGAGACAAUUUGUGCUGUGUCUGCCGCAUCCUUUUCGAUGACAGGAAGAAGAAUGCUUCAGAGAAGUGGCGUUCAUGGUCACAGUGCACAGUGUGCCAAUCAUGGUCACACACUGCAUGUCAAGACACAAUGCAAACUUUGAGUUGUUUUUAUUUUGUUCAUGACCCCAUCCCUACAAACACACACACAUAUUUUUUUUAUUUUUAUGUAUUAGGUGCAAUUUAAUAUUUUUCAUGCAAAUGUAUUGCAAUGAUUACACUUAUAAGAAUAAAACAGAUUUUUAAUUCACUCUAA